Molecule: unclassified non-coding RNA, 218 nt
Filed under: uncultured Thelephoraceae
Lineage: Eukaryota; Fungi; Basidiomycota; Agaricomycetes; Thelephorales; Thelephoraceae
Description: sequence contains ITS2
Source: RNAcentral
ACACCUCAACUCUCACGUUCCUCGUGAUGAGCUUGGACUUGGGGGCUUUGUUGGCCUGUGGGUCAGCUCUCCUCAAAUGAAUCAGCUCGCCGGUGUCUGGCGGCGUCAUGGGUGUGAUAACCGUCUACUCUCGUGAUCGCCUGCAAAGUAAACCUCUGGUCUGCAGAGGUUCGCCGGAGCUUAUAGAUGUCUCUCCUCAGUGAAGACAGCCGUCUGAA